RNAcentral lists this long non-coding RNA (267 nucleotides) under Homo sapiens (human). Its description in RNAcentral is "HSALNT0338989". The record is from RNAcentral. Lineage: Eukaryota; Metazoa; Chordata; Mammalia; Primates; Hominidae.
GUUUGAAGCCACUCAGUUUGUGGAGCUUUGUCACGGCAAAUCCAGAAACAAACACACCGGCUUUCUCAGAGCUUCCUGGUGGCCAGCGCCCUGUGCCUCUGAUGGUAUGGGAUGAAAAGUGCCCCAAUUCCAGGAGCAGUGGGAGAGGGUAUCUGGCCACUCUGUGGGCUGCAAUUGGCAUUGGUGACAAAGGCUGGCUGAGUCGCUGUUGGCAGGUGGACCACCGACCCCACUGCCUGAGCUUGGUGAGUAAGACGUCUUUCACCG